GUUCUGACUGCCCCUGAGCCAUUAUUUCUGAACAUCUUGGUUUAAGGGACUGUGAGCUAAAUUCUUCUCUCCAUUAUGCUUGCGUAAACCAGGAGUAACACUCUGUUUUCACUUGAGUUAGACAUAUCACCGAUCAUGCAAUUUACCGGGAUGGAUGAAAAAAAGCUGCUGGGCUAGAACUACAAAGAGAAUAGCUUUUUAUGCAGUAUUUUAGUACUUCAUCCUCUGGACCCAUAUGAAACUAGGUCAGCAAGAGUCAUAAAGAAAGUCCUCUUCUCAAGAUGGUCCAAGACCAGUGGGGAAAGAAGAGGGUACCUGAGUGUCCUGCCAGUCUACACCAGUCAGCAGCAGUGCCUGAAGGCCAGCAGCAGAUCACAGUCCAACUCAGGUACCAUCUUCUAUCUGUCCAGGAGGCCACAACUGCCAGCUGUUACUCUCUCAGUCCCAAAUUCAGCAAGAGUUUACAUUACACUUUGGAUUUUGAGGCUGAAGAGAGUUUUUGGAAGGAAACCCAGCCCCUGUUUGACAGUCUCUUAGAUGUUACCAAAAAUGACAAUAACUGUCCUUUUGGGGAAAAGAGAAGAGGUUAAUUGAGAUGGGUUGGAGCUGUUAAAGUCCAAUCCUGUUUCAUCCCAGGUGGUGUUUGGGAUUCAGCUGGAGCCAGUAGAGGUGGAGAUGUCAUCUGGGUCUCUUUCUCUGGCCUGAUCCGGUCAGGACAUCUCUCAAGGUCAAGAUGAUGAAGGCCUGGAGGUGCAGGAGAUGGUGGGGGUGUAGCCCUGAUGGUGAAGCUCACUCCAGAACCCAAUUUUUCUUAAAGCCUCUUUCAUUAAGGGCCCACAAAGGGAAUGGUCAGUGAAACAACCCAUCCCCUCAUUAUUUUGUCCACUAAUUAGGCCUGGUUUCUGGCACACCAGUUUUGAGUCACUGAUUUCUGAUUCCACCCUCUUCUUGUUUGCAAGGCUUGAUCUUAACACAGUCCUUGAGUUAUAUCAGUUGGACUUUUUGUUUGGACUAAUUCAAUCUGUCUCCCUUUUGUACCUUUUCCCAUCAACAUUUGUUGUUAUAGGUUAUUGUGACAUCUUAUGAACUUACCCUAACUGUGAGUUCAACUCUAAAAAGUGAGUGUAAAUUUGUAGGCCCAAUUAUCACAACACUUGCCAAUAUCCAUCUUUCUCAUCUGAAAUAGUGGAUAUGCUUUUACCAGAUAGUUAGCAUUAAACAUCUGGGGAUGGAGUAAUUCUGUCCCAGGAUAGCCUUAUUAAGGUCUCUAGGAUCCAAAUACAUCCUAAUCGUGCCAUUUUUCUUUUCAAUUAAGACCAAGCUGGUAAUCCAUGGAGUGGGUCAAUUCACUUUUGCUAUGACCCUUUUCUAAUGGCCUGCAUGCAUCUCUAAGUCUGUCUGUCACUGCAAAGGGGAUAUUUCUGCAGGAGUGUAUGAUGGGGUGACUGAUGGGUCUGUGAUGCUUCCCAUGGAACUCUCCUAGUUCUCUAAGGUUUUUUCGGUAUGGUGCAAUCAAUUUUUCUUUAGUGUUGGGUGCUGUGGUGCAAAGCAUGCCUGUUCUGUUUAUUAGGUAGCUGUGUGCAAGCUUCUUUGCUUAACUUUGAUGUUAUAAUGCCUUAGUAAUGAAGAACUGAAGACUGACCUUCGCCUUGGCCAUCACUGCUGUUAGUGUGACUUCUCCUUCAGAGUCUAUUCUGGAACUGCCAUAUGCUAUAUGUGCAACAUUAGAUGGCUUUAUUCUGAUGGGACCUGGUAUCUUUUUCAAAAGGUGAACUGAUAAAAUAUUAGCUUCAUCUCCAGUAUCAUUCAGGUGCAUUCUUUAUAUUCAGUGAAUGUAUACACUGCUGAGUGUGUGUUAUAUGUUUUCUAUUACCCUGUGAUAGUAUAUCUACAAGGGAUUGCUCACAUUCUAGUUCAGCCAGAUAUUUGUGGCUUUGUCUUUUGGGUAUGUUUGUUGCUCUGCACAUAGAAGAAUAAUGAUUUAAUUGUCCACACUUGUGACGUUACUGCAAUGGCUGGGCAGACUCUGGGUGGGUGUGUCUUACCACACAGCAUGUGCAUAGUUUCUUUGUGUGAGCUGUUGGUGAGUCUGCUUUGCUGUGAUUCUCAUGUGACUGGGUCUUGUCCAUACUUUUGUGUAAAAGCCUGUAUAAACUUGUCAGAAUGUGGCCCAGCUUUGAGCUCUAUUUGUGUCUUUAUGGCUUGAGAGGGUGUGCAAAUAUAUAUUGCUUUUUACAAGCCCAAAUCAGUCUUCCUCAACAACUUUUCCUUUAGUCAUUUAUCAGUGACUCUGAACACAGUGUCUCUGAGCAUGUCAUUUUUAAUAUUUCCAAACUCACAAUCUCUUACUUUUUGUCUCUGUGACAUACUUGUCUAUCUUCUCUUCUCCUAGGUGUAGGUGAGCCCAGAACAGGUAUAGUUUGAACAUCACAUUAUUCUCAGGAUUACAAUAGAUCCUAAUGUCACACCCCAACGGCCCCUCCCUCAGGGAGUCCCCGGGGAAGGCAGAUCAGCACUGUAUGUAGCUAAUGCUGUCGCAAGCAUCACACAGCAUUUUGGGGAGGGUCAAAAGUGUGUGAGUGGGGAAUGGAAGGAGUAUGAGAGGCCAAGAGAGAGGGGGCAGAGAAAGAAGAAGAGCAGAGAACGGGUUAACUCCAUGCUCCUUCUAGGCCCCAAGAUAAAAUGCUCAAGGCCACAGCACACAUCUGACUCUCGGCUGCCGGCCAAAAAUGAGGGGGGCCCGGAAUGGAACAGCCACAGACCUGCAGAGCCAGCCCGUAACAAGCAAGGCAAGCGAAGGCCAGCACAGAGGAAAACAAAGAGAACAACAGAGUCUAGCCGGUGUGUUUUGGGGAAAGUCAAGGAGACCACAGAAAGCGGUUUGGACUGGCAGAAGGAGCACCAGGAACAGAGGUCGCGGAAUGGAACACCCUCAAAAGAGCCCAGGACUUAAAACCCUCCUGAGCGCUGGAGCAAUUGGGAGAUUACAGCGGAUCCCCCAGCUGACCUGGGCCCAGGGCAAGAACUCCCAUCCACCCUUCCCCUCUUCUUCUUACGUUACACCCAGGCCUGGCCAGGUUUGGGUAGUGUGGAUGUGGAACACUUUUGAUGGCAAUGGGAAAUCCACACACAUAGGGAAAGCCAAUGGACUAAAGCAAAAUCUGCCAUAUAGAUCAGAAAGGAGAAAUUUCCCCUUUGUCUCCUACCACCCAGUUUUCUUCUCCAAUGCAGAGACACACUGUCCUGUAUUGUGGUCAGACUAAAAGUUUGUUUUCCAUUCUACAUUUUGAUGGAUGUUGUAAAAUGGGACUAGUACUGUGCUGUUCUUAAAAACAAACAAACAAACAAACCUAUUUCCAUGCAGUGGUAUUUGAGAUCUCACUGUUUUUCUCUAUAUUCUUCCCUGGAAUAUAUUCUUAACAGUGGGUUCUUAGAUACCAAGUCUGCAAUGACCGGAAAAUGCUGACUUUUUAAAUGGUGAUCUCUUUAAAUACUUUUUACUGGUGACUUCAGAUAUUUUGGUACACAUUAGUAGCACAACACAAACUCACCAUUGUAAAAUGGUAAACCCCUUCAUUUCUGAUUGCGUUUCACAUACCUGCAUCCAUACAUUCCAGGGUGAAAGAAAUAUCAUCAAGAGCAACUUCUGUGAACUCAUUCCCUCCCACUUCAGCUUCAAAUGCGACUCUGAAAGGACUGUUGCUAGAGAGAACCACAUUUGCAUACGUCCACCUGCUUCCUUUAUUUCCAUUUGAAGACCACAUCAGAAUAUGCAUUCCAUAUUCUUCAACAGUGUACACCUAUUGACAACAAAACCCAGGAAAUAAAAUGUAAUCAGCAUGAAACUACAGAGAAGUACAGCUAGUUAGGUCAACCCAACAAAGUCUGAGGGCUCAGCCGACCGGCUAUGUAAUACGGAGCCUUUCUGCUGUGGUUCAUUACCUGGUUGGUGAUGACUGAAUAUUGUGACAUGGCCGUGGUGGUCUCAGUCCAAUUUUUAGUAAACAAGAGUUCACAUAACAGAAAAUGCUGCUAGAAGUUAUUAAUUGGGAAACCCUGCUGCCAGCCUUGGCCAGCAUAGAAGCAGAUCCAAAAUCUAUUUA
Molecule: long non-coding RNA, 4103 nt
Organism: Mauremys reevesii (Reeves's turtle)
Lineage: Eukaryota; Metazoa; Chordata; Testudines; Geoemydidae
Exons: 6
Source: RefSeq, a predicted model, not a curated record